This 373-nucleotide long non-coding RNA is filed under the name Homo sapiens (human). Its description in RNAcentral is "non-protein coding LINC00570:4". Lineage: Eukaryota; Metazoa; Chordata; Mammalia; Primates; Hominidae. The record is from RNAcentral.
GUUUCUCCCUUUUGGAACGGGAGUAUUUACCCAAUGCCUGUACCCCCAUGGCCACUUCCAGCAUCGAUGGUGUCAGGUCAGGUCCUCUGGGUAGAAGAAAUGGAGUCAGUUAGGAGUGCUGGAGACUGAGUAAGAGGUGGCAGCUGAGGCUUACUACCCCAGGAAAGGGAUGCCACCAGAGAAGGCAGACAACCAAGAUGGCGACUCUCAAUUUUUGAGCUCCUAAUUUUCUCAUGUCAGACAUAAGAAAAAAAAAUAUUUUUUAAAGAAAAAGCUUUAGGUUGCAAAAAUCUAGGCCUUUCAACUUUAAAAUCCUAUUCUUGCAAGCCUUGGAGAAUAAAGCUUAUGCAUAAACAGUAGAUUUGGAAACAGA